CUAAUGGUGGCUGGAGGACUGAUGGCGGCUGGAGGACUGAUGGCGGCUGGAGGACUGAUGGCUGCUGGAGGACUGAUGGCUGGAGGACUGAUGGCUGCUGGAGGACUGAUGGCUGGAGGACUGAUGGCAGCUGGAGGACUGAUGGCAGCUGGAGGAUUGAUGGCGGCUGGAGGACUGAUGGAGGCUGGAGGACUAAUGGCUGGAGGACUGAUGGCUGCUGGAGGACUGAUGGCUGGAGGACUAAUGGCUGGAGGAGUAAUGGCGGCUGGAGGACUAAUGGCUGGAGGACUGAUGGCGGCUGGAGGACUGAUGGCUGGAGGACUAAUGGCGGCUGGAGGACUGAUGGCUGCUGGAGGACUGAUGGCGGCUGGAGGACUGAUGGCGGCUGGAGGACUGAUGGCUGGAGGACUAAUGGCGGCUGGAGGACUAAUGGCGGCCCUAAUUAGCUCCCCACCCCCCCCAUUAGCCUAAUAAUAAUCACCAUUCCCAAUUAAUGCCUCUGUAUCUCAUUAAGUACCCCCGCUAAUUGCCCCUCCCCGCUCUAAUUACCCCUCCUCCCUCUAAUUAGCCCCUUCUAAUUACCCCAUCCCCUCUAAUUACCCCUACCCCCUCUAAUUACCCUCUCUAAUUGCCACUCUAACUUCUAAUUACCCCUACCACUCUAAUUACCCCCCUCUAAUUACCCCUACCCCCCCUAAUUACCCCCUAACUAUUCCCUGUAAUUACCCCUUCUAAU
Molecule: long non-coding RNA, 736 nt
Filed under: Phasianus colchicus (ring-necked pheasant)
Lineage: Eukaryota; Metazoa; Chordata; Aves; Galliformes; Phasianidae
Description: lncRNA (ENSPCLG00000017114.1)
Source: RNAcentral